AUGGAAUUAACUCUUUACUUACUACUUUGCGUGCUUUUUUAUUAUUCCUUGGUGCAGUUGCGAAAUCCACACAAUUCUCUCUUCACGUAUGGUUACCCGAUGCUAUGGAAGGACCCACUCCUAUUUCAGCUCUUAUACACGCCUUCUAGCUCGACUUCUUCCUCUUUUCACAUAUUUACCUUUGAUAAUGAGUUUUAUUACUUUAGUAGGUACAAUAACACUAUUCUUAGGAGCUAUUAA
Molecule: ribosomal RNA, 240 nt
Filed under: Triticum aestivum (bread wheat)
Lineage: Eukaryota; Viridiplantae; Streptophyta; Magnoliopsida; Poales; Poaceae
Description: partial small subunit ribosomal RNA
Source: RNAcentral